UUCGGGGAAUGGAUUCAGGGGCGUGGUGGGGCAUGUAGGGUUUUCAUUUCCAUUGGAUGAUUGGAAGGGGCAGUUGUUGUCGGGGGGUUCCAUGCGGAAAUCGUUCAGGGACUCGUUGAAGCUCCUCGAGGCUGGCAUCGGGCACGCGAACACUUUGGCAUCAGAUUUUCCCACCGAAUAUGAUGGUGCAUGCCUUCAAAUGCGAAUGUCAUAUAGUCCAGCUGCACAUUUGUUUCUUUUUCUUGUUCAGUGGACAGAUUGCAGCCUUGCUGGGGCUCUUGGACUCAUUAGAAUUAUGAUAUAUAAGGUUCAUAUUGAUGGAACAACAACCAUGUCAACUCUUGAAAGAAAAGCUAGUAUUAAAGAGUUUUAUGUUGCUAUUUUCCCCUCUUUGCUCCAACUACAGAAAGGGAUCACCAACAUGGAAGACAAAAAACAAAAGGUGGUAUGCAUGGAAAGAUAUAGACGAAGGGAUGAGGAUGAAAGGAAGCAGCUCUCUGAGAUAGAUGUUGAAAGAGAGGAAGAAUGUGGGAUUUGCAUGGAGAUGAACAACAAAAUCAUAUUGCCCAGGUGCAGCCAUGCUAUGUGUAUAAAAUGCUACAGAGAAUGGAACUCAAGAUCACAGUCAUGCCCCUUCUGUCGUGAUAGCCUCAGGAGAGUAAACUCUGGUGAUUUAUGGGUGUUUGUCAAUAGUAGAGAUGUCGUUGACAUGACUGGUGACACGUGAAGACAUCAGGCGCUUAAUCAUGUACAUAAAGAAGUUGCCCGAAGUUGUUCCAGAGACCGUCUUCAAUGCUUGUGAUUCUCAUGAUAGGUGACCCAUGUGUCCACGCCAUCUGGUCGACUUCCAUCAAUUUCUUAUUCUAGUUUCUAUCUGCUCAAGUAGCUUGAUUUUAUCUAUGGUUUGGAGAUGAUUCCAGUUUAAGUGGAAAAUCUGCUCUUCUUUUUCAAGCAGCUAAUUGACUUGCAAGCUACACCCGCUGAGCAUCUUCAGCACUAUGUAAAUUCUUGUACAGUUGGUAAGAUUAUA
Non-coding RNA from Musa acuminata subsp. malaccensis (wild Malaysian banana), 1030 nucleotides. NCBI's taxonomy places the organism in Eukaryota, Viridiplantae, Streptophyta, Magnoliopsida, Zingiberales, Musaceae. The record is from RefSeq and is a predicted model, not a curated record.